This 166-nucleotide unclassified non-coding RNA is filed under the name uncultured Stachybotrys. Its description in RNAcentral is "sequence contains ITS1". The record is from RNAcentral. Lineage: Eukaryota; Fungi; Ascomycota.
CCGAGUUUACAACUCCCAACCCUUCUGUGAACCUACCCAUCGUUGCUUCGGCGGAACGCCCCGGCCCCCGAGGCCGGACCCAGGCGCCCGCCGGAGACCCCUAACCCUUCUGUAUUUUUCGAGCAUCAGCACCAUCGUCUGAGUGGCAAACGCAAAGAAUCAAUCA